CUCAGUUUUUCCCAAGUGUCAGCACUUCUGAACUGUCGACUUCAUCUGCUGCCCUGUGACGCCUCCAAGAGAAUUAACCCAACAAUAGUGUGAUUUCAUCAUUUUCAUUUUUUCCCAUUUUCUUUAUAGAAACAAAUUAGAAUAUUCAAAUACAUAACAUGAACGGUGAAUCUUACCCGAUGCAAGACAAAUCUCGGCAAGUACAGGGCGGCCAUAUGCCUUCAGCACCACCGAAUUACGUGGCGAAUGUACACCAACCAACGGGAGGAAUUAUACAAGCGCACGUGAUACCGUACAACAACGUGCAUGUCCAGCAGCCGAGUGGCCACACAGUUAUUGUUGUAGUAAGUACAAUAGACAAUUCCCAUUAUAGACUAAUUUUAAAACUAGGCAAGGAGAUGCAAAUAAAUCCGGCACCACAGCUAGAAAGAGCAUACUAAAAUGAGUAAAUUUAGUACCAUUUUCGAAUAAAGUACCAUUUUCGGCCCAAUUGUGGUAGCAAUUUCCGCAUGCACGCUAUAUAAUACAAAAGUAUAAAAAAUUUGAAAACUUUGCAAGGCUAUAUUAUCCACAUUUUUCAACAUUUCGCAGUCAAACAUUGCAAUUUUACUCAUUUUAUUACGCUCUUUCUAGCUGUGGUGGUUUAUUUGCAGAAUAUUGCAGUUAUAGUUUUUUCAAUUAAAAGGGCUGAAAUGCGCCUUAAAAACCAUCAAUCAAAAGCUUUUUGCGUUUCUCCAAAUUGGUGAAUACUAACCGUAACCAUGCACGAAAUGUUUUUUUCACAAAAUAAUUUAAAUUUAUGUUGCUUUGCAGCCCUCACAAGCAAUAGCUGGAAAUGAUAUCAGCGACUAUAUGGUUCUAUCAAUUUUUUCCUGUUUCUGUUGCUUUUGGCCUGUUGGAAUCUUCGCAAUUAUGAUGUCAUGCAUGGU
Paramuricea clavata is the source of this 929-nucleotide non-coding RNA. NCBI's taxonomy places the organism in Eukaryota, Metazoa, Cnidaria, Anthozoa, Malacalcyonacea, Plexauridae. The record is from the annotation of a GenBank genome assembly.